AUAUUGGACAAUGGGUGCAACCCUGAUCCAGCCAUGCCGCGUGUGUGAAGAAUGUCUNNNGAUUGNAAAGUACUUUAAGUUGGNAGANAGGGCUUUAGGUUAAUACCCUGAAGUUUUUAUGUUACCAACAGAAUAAGCACCGGAUAACCAUGUGCCAGCAGCCGCUGUAAUACAGAGGGUGCAACCGUUAAUCGGAAUUACUGGGCGUAAAGCUCGCGUAGGUGGUUCAGUAAGAUGGGUGUGAAAUCCCCGGGCUUAAACUGGGAACUGCUUUCAUAACUGCUGAGCUAGAGUACGUUAGAGGGUAGUGGAAUUUCCUGUAUAGCGGUGAAAUGCGUAGAUAUAGGAAGGAACACCAGUGGAGAAGGCGACUACCUGGACUGAUACUGACACUGAGGUGCGAAAGCGUGGGGAGCAAACA
This 421-nucleotide ribosomal RNA is filed under the name uncultured bacterium. RNAcentral's name for it is "partial 16S ribosomal RNA". It matches the Rfam family "Bacterial small subunit ribosomal RNA", at positions 361 to 774 of the family's 1533-position model. The record is from RNAcentral.